AGAAUUAUAACCUGAAUCUGCAGCUCCCCUCACUUUUACAGAGAUUCAUAGAGAGUUUCAGCUCAUUGUUAGGCUCCGUAACUUUUCUUUUU
This is a long non-coding RNA of Etheostoma spectabile (orangethroat darter), 92 nucleotides long. RefSeq lists it as uncharacterized. Lineage: Eukaryota; Metazoa; Chordata; Actinopteri; Perciformes; Percidae. The record is from RefSeq and is a predicted model, not a curated record. The transcript has 3 exons.